RNAcentral lists this ribosomal RNA (263 nucleotides) under Escherichia coli. RNAcentral describes it as "partial 16S ribosomal RNA". It matches the Rfam family "Bacterial small subunit ribosomal RNA", at positions 1 to 260 of the family's 1533-position model. Lineage: Bacteria; Pseudomonadati; Pseudomonadota; Gammaproteobacteria; Enterobacterales; Enterobacteriaceae. The record is from RNAcentral.
AAAUUGAAGAGUUUGAUCAUAGCUCAGAUUGAACGCUGGCGGCAGGCCUAACACAUGCAAGUCGAACGGUAACAGGAAGCAGCUUGCUGCUUUGCUGACGAGUGGCGGACGGGUGAGUAAUGUCUGGGAAACUGCCCGAUGGAGGGGGAUAACUACUGGAAACGGUAGCUAAUACCGCAUAACGUCGCAAGACCAAAGAGGGGGACCUUAGGGCCUCUUGCCAUCGGAUGUGCCCAGAUGGGAUUAGCUAGUAGGUGGGGUAA